RNAcentral lists this ribosomal RNA (396 nucleotides) under uncultured bacterium. RNAcentral describes it as "bacterial SSU rRNA". It matches the Rfam family "Bacterial small subunit ribosomal RNA", at positions 958 to 1353 of the family's 1533-position model. The record is from RNAcentral.
AACGCGAAGAACCUUACCUACUCUUGACAUCCAGAGAAUUCGCCAGAGAUAGCUUAGUGCCUUCGGGAACUGUGAGACAGGUGCUGCAUGGCUGUCGUCAGCUCGUGUUGUGAAAUGUUGGGUUAAGUCCCGCAACGAGCGCAACCCUUAUCCUUUGUUGCCAGCGCGUAAUGUCGGGAACUCAAAGGAGACUGCCGGUGAUAAACCGGAGGAAGGUGGGGAUGACGUCAAGUCAUCAUGGCCCUUACGAGUAGGGCUACACACGUGCUACAAUGGCAUAUACAAAGAGAAGCGAACUCGCGAGAGCAAGCGGACCUCAUAAAGUAUGUCGUAGUCCGGAUUGGAGUCUGCAACUCGACUCCAUGAAGUCGGAAUCGCUAGUAAUCGUAGAUCAGA